Molecule: small nucleolar RNA, 131 nt
Organism: Apodemus sylvaticus (European woodmouse)
Lineage: Eukaryota; Metazoa; Chordata; Mammalia; Rodentia; Muridae
Product: small nucleolar RNA SNORA17
Exons: 1
Source: RefSeq, a predicted model, not a curated record
CCUGCCCCUAGAGCAUUGCAGGUGUGGCUGCUGUGUCACAUGUGCUUCUACAGGUGGCAGGGAGGAAAGAAGUUAUGUCUGUGCUCAGUGUUCUGACCUGUGAGGAUCUGAAUGAUUAGUAUCCUAACAUU